AUUUAGUCACCCUAGGUAGUAACACUAAACCAAUAUACAAUGGCGGUCUUUAACAUUUAGAGAAACUCGCUUUGUAAUCGUAAACACCCGCUAAUUUUAACUUAAAUUAAAAAUUUAUAUACCGCCGUCAAAGAACUACUUUAAAAUUCAGAUCUCAAUUUUAUAUAUAAAAAUAAAUCAGGUCAAGGUGUAAUCAAUAUUUAAGAAAAAGUAAGUUACUAUAAAAACAAUUUAAGGAAUAGAAUUUAAAACAACUAAGAAAAAGAAUUUAUAUAUACAUUAAAAUCAAAAAUCUUAAUAGAAUAACAAAAUAAAGACGU
This 320-nucleotide ribosomal RNA is filed under the name Quamtana sp. DNA100433857. RNAcentral describes it as "partial 12S ribosomal RNA". The record is from RNAcentral. Lineage: Eukaryota; Metazoa; Arthropoda; Arachnida; Araneae; Pholcidae.